ACGGAGGGUGCAAGCGUUGUCCGGAUUUAUUGGGUUUAAAGGGUGCGUAGGCGGGCCUUUAAGUCAGUGGUGAAAGCCGACAGCUUAACUGUCGAAAUGCCAUUGAUACUGGGGGUCUUGAGUACAGUAGAGGUAGGCGGAAUUAAUGGUGUAGCGGUGAAAUGCAUAGAUACCAUUAAGAACACCGAUUGCGAAGGCAGCUUACUAUAGUGUAACUGACGCUGAGGCACGAAAGUGUGGGGAUCAAACAGGA
Molecule: ribosomal RNA, 253 nt
Filed under: uncultured prokaryote
Description: partial 16S ribosomal RNA
Rfam family: Bacterial small subunit ribosomal RNA
Source: RNAcentral